AUAGGACAACAAACAUCAUAUCUUCCCUGUACAAUUGUAGUAUUUAUAUGCCUUAUUUUGUGAACAUUGUCUAAUAGGAAAGAAUCUGAUGGAAAGAAGCCCUUGUUCACAAAGUAAUGGUUUUCAAUCCUUGCAAAUGCCAAAGAAAAAUCAUCAUCAUCCCCUCUCUUGAUGUUCUCUUCAUUUGGAAGAAGAUGGGCAGUCAUCAUUUCCCAUUUGGUCCAUGCUCUUGCAGCUGCGUAUUGUGUUUCCAUAUCAUCAGAGUUCAACCUCUUGCUGUAAGCAUCAAUGAAACAUCCCCUUUCAUUUUCUGGGAUAAGAUCUCUAAAUGGUUCCCAAGCAUCCGGGUAAAUAGCCGCAGCACCACCCUCAUAAAACCAAUCAAUCUCUUUCUUUCGCAGAAGAAAGAUCCCUCUGAGGACCAUGCCAGUAACCUUGUCAGGAUGAGCUUGACUGUAUGCAAGAGCUAGUGUACUUCCCCAUGACCCACCAAAUACCUGCCAUUCUGGAAUCUCCAAGUGUUCUCUUAGCUUUUCAAUGUCAGCAAUGAGGUCCCAUGAGGUGUUUUCCACUAAGCAAGCAUGAGGUGUACUCCUUCCUGCACCCCUCUGAUCAAAUAGAAUUAUUCGGUAAAAUUCUGGAUUGAAAAAUCUACGAUUACUUGGUGUGGUUCCUCCUCCAGGGCCUCCAUGAAGAAAGACAACCGGAUGCCCGCUGGGAUUUCCGGACUGCUCAUAGUAGAUAGUGUGAAGAUCAGAAACCUUCAAAAAACCAGUACUAUACGGCUCAAUUGGUUCAUAAAGAUUCCGAUUAAGCUCAGAUGAUGUCUCCUUCCCCGGUUCCAUCAACUCAAAAAGUUGUGAUUCACUCUUAUACCCAAGAUUUCGUACACGUAACACUAAACUCCUCCUUCUGGCGAAAGGAUGAGGGAGGGAAGGAAGAUGACAAGGAAGGAGAGGGAGAGAGGGAGGAGAGGAAGCGAGCGAAGGAGUGAGUGAAACUAUGGAAAAACUAAAACCUAAUAAACCCAUUGGCGAU
RNAcentral lists this unclassified non-coding RNA (1038 nucleotides) under Hevea brasiliensis (rubber tree). The record is from RNAcentral. Lineage: Eukaryota; Viridiplantae; Streptophyta; Magnoliopsida; Malpighiales; Euphorbiaceae.